This 24-nucleotide non-coding RNA is filed under the name Mus musculus (house mouse). The record is from RNAcentral. Lineage: Eukaryota; Metazoa; Chordata; Mammalia; Rodentia; Muridae.
UGUGAUCAUAGUUGGAGAACUUUU